GACGAACGCUGGCGGCGUGCUUAACACAUGCAAGUCGAACGAGAGCGUAGAGAAAGCUUGCUUUUUCUACAAUCUAGUGGCAAGCGGGUGAGUAACGCGUAAACAACCUGCCCUACGGAUGGGGACAACAGCUGGAAACGGCUGCUAAUACCGAAUACGUUCCGAAAGUCGCAUGACUAUCGGAAGAAAGGAUGGCCUCUAUUUAUAAGCUAUCGCCGGAGGAGGGGUUUGCGUCUGAUUAGCUAGUUGGAGGGGUAACGGCCCACCAAGGCGACGAUCAGUAGCCGGCCUGAGAGGAUGAACGGCCACAUUGGAACUGAGACACGGUCCAGACUCCUACGGGAGGCAGCAGUGGGGAAUCUUCCGCAAUGGGCGAAAGCCUGACGGAGCAACGCCGCGUGAGUGAAGACGGCCUUCGGGUUGUAAAGCUCUGUUAUACGGGACGAAUAAUCUUGUGGUUAAUACCCAUGAGAAGUGACGGUACCGUAAGAGAAAGCCACGGCUAACUACGUG
RNAcentral lists this ribosomal RNA (513 nucleotides) under uncultured bacterium. RNAcentral describes it as "partial 16S ribosomal RNA". It matches the Rfam family "Bacterial small subunit ribosomal RNA", at positions 28 to 507 of the family's 1533-position model. The record is from RNAcentral.